UGGGGAAUAUUGCACAAUGGGCGCAAGCCUGAUGCAGCCAUGCCGCGUGUGUGAAGAAGGCCUUCGGGUUGUAAAGCACUUUCAGCGAGGAGGAAGGCGUUAAGGUUAAUAACCUUGGCGAUUGACGUUACUCGCAGAAGAAGCACCGGCUAACUCCGUGCCAGCAGCCGCGGUAAUACGGAGGGUGCAAGCGUUAAUCGGAAUUACUGGGCGUAAAGCGCACGCAGGCGGUUUGUUAAGUCAGAUGUGAAAUCCCCGAGCUUAACUUGGGAACUGCAUUUGAAACUGGCAAGCUAGAGUCUUGUAGAGGGGGGUAGAAUUCCAGGUGUAGCGGUGAAAUGCGUAGAGAUCUGGAGGAAUACCGGUGGCGAAGGCGGCCCCCUGGACAAAGACUGACGCUCAGGUGCGAAAGCGUGGGGCAGCAAACAGGAUUAGAUACCCUGGUAGUCCACGCUGUAAAUGAUGUCGAUUUGGAGGUUGUGGGCUUGACCCGUGGCUUCCGGAGCUAACGCGUUAAAUCG
Molecule: ribosomal RNA, 521 nt
Filed under: uncultured bacterium
Lineage: Bacteria
Description: partial 16S ribosomal RNA
Rfam family: Bacterial small subunit ribosomal RNA
Source: RNAcentral